RNAcentral lists this ribosomal RNA (165 nucleotides) under Verticillium nonalfalfae. RNAcentral's name for it is "partial 18S ribosomal RNA". It matches the Rfam family "Eukaryotic small subunit ribosomal RNA", at positions 1 to 167 of the family's 1831-position model. The record is from RNAcentral. Lineage: Eukaryota; Fungi; Ascomycota; Sordariomycetes; Glomerellales; Plectosphaerellaceae.
ACCUGGUUGAUUCUGCCAGUAGUCAUAUGCUUGUCUCAAAGAUUAAGCCAUGCAUGUCUAAGUAUAAGCAAUUACAAAGCGAAACUGCGAAUGGCUCAUUAUAUAAGUUAUCGUUUAUUUGAUAGUACCUUACUACAUGGAUAACCGUGGUAAUUCUAGAGCUAU